AAGGUUUUAAUGGUGUGUAUUCGGUUUUAGUCGGCGUCAGGUUGCGCUUUUCUGCGCAAAUGAAUUUUGCCGAUGCGACUU
Molecule: long non-coding RNA, 81 nt
Organism: Maniola jurtina (meadow brown)
Lineage: Eukaryota; Metazoa; Arthropoda; Insecta; Lepidoptera; Nymphalidae
Exons: 3
Source: RefSeq, a predicted model, not a curated record